UUUAAACUGUUUAAUUGGGAUCUCAUGAUGAAGUCCUCGUUUUUGUUUUUCAUUGGGAUCUCAUGACGAAGUCCUCAGUUUUCACUGUUUCAUUGGGACCUCUGUGGUCACAAAGUCCUUUUUUUUCAAUUUUUCAUUGGGAUCUCAUGAUGAAGUCCUCGUUCUCACUGUUUCACCCUCGUUCUCACUGUGUCGUUGGGUUCCCUGUGCUGACAAAGCCCUCGGACUUUUCACGGGUAUCUCGAUGGUCAUGAAGUCCUCAGCCAGCGUCACCUCCUGGCUGCCCAUGACGGCCUCGGCCUCGCUCCGGAGGGCUCCCAUGUCAUCCCCGCCGCGGUACCGCUNGAGAUCCCACAGGGAGAUAAACCCACUGAGAACACUGACAACUGAGCGGCACGCUAAUUUAAUCCAGGUUUCAUUAGCAGUCAGGAUCACCGGGUGAUUUGUACCCAGGCUUUGAGGAGAGGGGAGCAGGCUAAGCCAGGACACAGGGGUCUGAUAGAAAAGAGGCAGCUGUAAUUUGUUCUGAAACUCCAAAAUACACUAUAAAUGCAAAGUGCAGCAGCUCUGCAUAACCCAGCGCUGGGUGUGUGAUGUGCCCAAGAGCAAUCCGUGUUUGGAUCCACAGCAGUGACCUGGCCUUGAGUGCAGACCCAGAGCCUGCAGCUCUCCUGAAAGGAGCAUCCCCUCCCUGGGCUCUCCCUGUGGAAUGAAUGGCAUUGGAAUUGCACUGGUAUUCCAGAUACAGGAUCUGAUAGAAAAGAGGAAGCUGUAAUUUGCUCUGAAACGCUAAAAUACAUUAUAAAUGGAAAGUGCAGCAGCUCUGCAUAACCCAGAGCUGGGUGUGCUCGACUCAUUGACAUGGCCAAGAGCAAUCCGUGUUUGAGUCCACAGCAGUGACCUGGCCUUGAGUGCAGACCCAGAGCCUUCAGUUCUUCGGGUCAGGGAAAGGAGCAUCCCCUCCCUGGGCUCUCCCUGUGGAAUAAAUGCCAUUGGAAUUGCA
Molecule: long non-coding RNA, 1003 nt
Filed under: Zonotrichia albicollis (white-throated sparrow)
Lineage: Eukaryota; Metazoa; Chordata; Aves; Passeriformes; Passerellidae
Description: lncRNA (ENSZALG00000001109.1)
Source: RNAcentral